This 350-nucleotide long non-coding RNA is filed under the name Elaeis guineensis (African oil palm). RNAcentral describes it as "long non-coding RNA (EGUI_LNC026988)". The record is from RNAcentral. Lineage: Eukaryota; Viridiplantae; Streptophyta; Magnoliopsida; Arecales; Arecaceae.
GAAGGUCAUGAAGAACUCGUCAGACCUUAUUAUCAGUCAUAUGCUAGAUUGGCUUGACUUGAGUUUAUUUAUGAAUCCCGUAAAAAUUCUUUUCCAGUAUUUACACUUGUUUUGGCCAAAGACUUUCUGAACUCAGUCUCGCAAAUCGUAUAGAACUUCUUUUUUUCUAUCAAGAUCGAUAGAUCCCAUCUAGAUGCAUCCUACUCUAAACAGCGAAGCUGAACCUACUGAAAUCAACAUACACAGCAAGGACCUGAAUGGCUAGGGAUCAAAAAACGUACAGUCAAAUUCAGUAGUCUUGCUGUAAAUAGCCAAUGACACCAUAGGUCAAAGGAUCAUUCACACCACUG